GGGUCAGUAGGUUGGUCGUGCCACCGGUACGUACUGGUCUCACUGAUUCCUCCUUCCUGAAGAACCGUAAUGCCAUUAAUUUGGUGUUGCGGGGAAACAGGACUGUUACUUUGAAAAAAUUAGAGCGUUUAAAGCAAGCUAACGCUUGAAUACAUUAGCAUGGGAUAAUGAAAUAGGACGAUCGAUCCUAUUUUGUUGGUUUCUAGGAUUGACGUA
RNAcentral lists this ribosomal RNA (216 nucleotides) under Glomeromycotina sp. Its description in RNAcentral is "partial small subunit ribosomal RNA". The stretch from base 40 to 216 matches the Rfam family "Eukaryotic small subunit ribosomal RNA", at positions 686 to 864 of the family's 1831-position model. The record is from RNAcentral. Lineage: Eukaryota; Fungi; Glomeromycota.